GACCCCUUGAGGAAAGCCCAGCGACGCCGGGCCAGCGCAUUCUUAUUUUAUGUAUGAGCAAACUAUGGAAUGGAAAAGAGAUUAUGAGUUAUUACUUGAUUUGAUUUGCCCUAAGUGUUUUUUAAACGUAUGGAUUUAGCGCCAACAUUUAAAAAGAAGGUAUAUUUUAAUUAAAAAUCAGGAAUUGAUUUAAUUUAAAAUUUGGCUCCUCUUACAGGAAGAUCUGGCAAGAGUUAGCGUGCAGUUCUACAUUGUGACAAUUCAUGAGAGCUAAGGACUGGCUGUCUCUUGGGACAAAUAGGCUUUCUUGAGUCUGCAUGAGGCCCUCACCAGAUACAGCCACCUGAUCUUGGACUUCACAGCCUCCAGAAAUAUGCCCUGGAAUACACUUGUGUCAGUGACAAAUGCUGCUUUGCUGUGCUACAUCGAGUACAAGAGAAAUACAUGGGCUAUCUUCAGCACAGAACACAAACUCUGCCUUCUUUUCUCAAGUCCAGUGAUUCAAGUUUGACACACCACACCACGGUGGAUGUGCCUUGUCAUGACACAUCUUCUCAGCAGCACUAGAAGAUACAUCCAAAGUCCUGUGAGCAAGGACACAGCGAGAAGAUGGCUGUCUACAAGCCAGGAAGAGAGUCCUCACCAGAACCAAACCCUGCUGGACUUUGAUCUUGGACUUCCCAGCCUCUAAAACUGUGAAGACAUAAAUUUCUGUUGUUAAACCCACACAGGUCUGUGGUAUCUGUUUAUUAUGGCAGCCCAGUAAGACUAAGACAGGCCAUCACAAGACAUGAAUGUUUUGGACCUUCUCUUGGGCCCUAGUAAACAGAAAUCAGGCUAUUAAACUAAUCCACGUUCUAAACUGUUAUUGCUACUGGAAAAUGGUCCCGAUCCAGACCCCAAAAGAGGAUUCU
Molecule: long non-coding RNA, 914 nt
Filed under: Homo sapiens (human)
Lineage: Eukaryota; Metazoa; Chordata; Mammalia; Primates; Hominidae
Description: HSALNT0078795
Source: RNAcentral